Molecule: long non-coding RNA, 218 nt
Filed under: Mytilus galloprovincialis (Mediterranean mussel)
Lineage: Eukaryota; Metazoa; Mollusca; Bivalvia; Mytilida; Mytilidae
Source: RNAcentral
UUGCGUUCAGCUGACAAAAAUGUCAAAAAUAUACACUGACGCUAGUUUGUAUGAAUGAAUAAGUAAAUGUGGGCAAGUUUCUGUACACGAUUGGCGAAAAUAAGAUACAUAAAUGGAUUUAUAGUGAUUUUACGGACAUAUCGUGUACACAAUCCUGAUCAAUCUUCGGCAGAUCUGAAAUAUUCUGUGAAUGUUCUCUAUGAAACCAACAGUGAAAU